UACGUAGGUGGCAAGCGUUGUCCGGAAUUAUUGGGCGUAAAGCGCGCGCAGGCGGCUAUGUAAGUCUGGUGUUAAAGCCCGGGGCUCAACCCCGGUUCGCAUCGGAAACUGCGUAGCUUGAGUGCAGAAGAGGAAAGCGGUAUUCCACGUGUAGCGGUGAAAUGCGUAGAGAUGUGGAGGAACACCAGUGGCGAAGGCGGCUUUCUGGUCUGUAACUGACGCUGAGGCGCGAAAGCGUGGGGAGCAAACAGGAUUAGAUACCCUGGUAGUCCACGCCGUAAACGAUGAGUGCUAGGUGUUGGGGGUUUCAAUACCCUCAGUGCCGCAGCUAACGCAAUAAGCACUCCGCCUGGGGAGUACGCUCGCAAGAGUGAA
This 375-nucleotide ribosomal RNA is filed under the name uncultured bacterium. RNAcentral's name for it is "bacterial SSU rRNA". It matches the Rfam family "Bacterial small subunit ribosomal RNA", at positions 524 to 898 of the family's 1533-position model. The record is from RNAcentral.